AAGUAAAAGUCGUAACAAGGUCUCCGUUGGUGAACCAGCGGAGGGAUCAUUACUGAGUUACCGCUCUAUAACCCUUUGUGAACAUACCUACAACUGUUGCUUCGGCGGGUAGGCCGUCCCCUGAAAAGGACGCCUCCCGGCCCGGACCGGACCCCCCGCGGGACCGGACCCGGCGCCCGCCGGAGGAUAACCAAACUCUAUUGUAACGACGUUUCUUCUGAGUGGCAUAAGCAAAAUAAUCAAAACUUUUAACAACGGAUCUCUUGGUUCUGGCAUCGAUGAAGAACGCAGCGAAAUGCGAUAAGUAAUGUGAAUUGCAGAAUUCAGUGAAUCAUCGAAUCUUUGAACGCACAUUGCGCCCGCCAGCAUUCUGGCGGGCAUGCCUGUUCGAGCGUCAUUUCAACCCUCAAGCUCUGCUUGGUGUUGGGGCUCUACGGUCGACGUAGGCCCUCAAAGGUAGUGGCGGACCCUCCCGGAGCCUCCUUUGCGUAGUAACAUUUCGUCUCGCACUGGGAUCCGGAGGGACUCUUGCCGUAAAACCCCCCAAUUUUCCAAAGGUUGACCUCGGAUCAGGUAGGAAUACCCGCUGAACUUAAGCAUAUCA
This 604-nucleotide ribosomal RNA is filed under the name Colletotrichum boninense. RNAcentral describes it as "eukaryotic LSU rRNA". The stretch from base 244 to 397 matches the Rfam family "5.8S ribosomal RNA". Lineage: Eukaryota; Fungi; Ascomycota; Sordariomycetes; Glomerellales; Glomerellaceae. The record is from RNAcentral.